CCAUCAAUCUUUGACCACCACUUUUCCCCACCACUCAUUUUUCACCCCAACCAUUCACUCUUUCCCUACCAUUUUCCCCCAUCACUCAUCAUUUUUCCCACCACUCAUCACUCAAGUAUGCAGCCAACAAUCCUCCUCUAUUAACUUCAACUCCAGCCAACAGACUCCCCUUUCACUCACAGCAGCGUCGACUUCCCUGCUGCCAUACUUGAACAAGCUUCAGUUCAUUUGAGACUUCAUUAACAGGAGAGAAAGAGCUGCCCAACUUCCGCCAAAUCCUCAAGUUAUUCCUCAUCUCAAUCAUCAAUACCACAACAGCCAACCAACAAGCUAGAUACUCAAGGUAUUUAUGCGACCUCAGUUAUUCAAUCCAGUUUGCAUUCAUACCAUCAAACAUGAUCAGAUUCAAAUGAUAGAUGGCAAUAAGCUUGAUAAACUUAGCAAAGUUACAUACUCUAUAUGAAAUAGCAUUUGUUACUUUCCUGUUGUAUUCAUAUCUAUAGAGCUCAUAACAAUCCACAUAUGCGAACUCAUGAUUUAUGGCAUUUCACGAAAGUAGUAUGAUUCAUACAUUGAGAUAUUACCACUGUACAACCAAAGCCAUAAGAGCUCCCAUCAUGUAGCAACAUGAAUCGAAAUACAAUAGCAGGGGAUAGAACAAAAACUUAGCUUAAGGAAUAGGGUCGACUGCCCUGUUUAGUCGAGCUCAAGGAAGACGACGGCGAAGCCGAAGGUUCCAGCAGCAGCGGCGUCGGGGCUCGGGGAAUCAACGACGACGGUGGCCUGGUGCUCCUACUGCUGUCGAUCCAGAGAUAGCAGUGGGUGGAUGGCGGCUGGACGAGAAGCUGGUCGGCGGAGGGAGAGAUGGUGGGCCGAUCAACUGCUACUCGGCCACGGCCAGAGGAGAUCCGAGGGAGGAGGCGGAUCUGCUGCGAGGACGCCGGAGGCGGCGGCGCAGCCGCUGGAUGAGAGGGAGCUAGGGCUCGGGCGCCGCUCUUCGCGGUGGGAUGCUGGGGUUUAACGCGUCACCGGUCAAAUCUGACCGGAGCAGAUGACGACUGAACGGCCGGCCCAACCGACCAGAGCUUGAACGAGAGAGAGAGAUCGGCUUGGGGGGGGCGGCGGCGUUACCUCAGCAGCGGCGACGUCCAGCGACAUAGCUUCCAGGCGUGUCGGCAGAUGACGCCGACCGGAGCAGGCGGCAGCUGAGUGGCCGGAGAGGGAGGGCCGAUCGAGCGCCGAUUUUGAGAAAGGGAGCGAGCGGCCCUUGAGAGAGAUCAGAGAGAGAAAGGCGAGAAUUGAUUUUGAGGAAAUAGGGAGAGAGAACCGAGAUGUUGGGGGAAGAAAUUUUGGGCUUUUCCUAUUGUAAUUAAAAUUGGGCUUAUUUAUUUUAAUUGGGCUUAUUUAGUUUAA
Molecule: long non-coding RNA, 1413 nt
Organism: Salvia miltiorrhiza (redroot sage)
Lineage: Eukaryota; Viridiplantae; Streptophyta; Magnoliopsida; Lamiales; Lamiaceae
Exons: 2
Source: RefSeq, a predicted model, not a curated record